AAAGAUUAAGCCAUGCAUGUCUAUGCACACGCCCUUGAAUGGUGAAGCCGCGAAAAGCUCACUACAACAGCCAUAGUUUAUUGGAUGUUUACGUUCCUACAAGGACACCUGCGGUAAUUCUGGAGCUAAUACUUGCGAAAUGCGACAACCUCACGGGAGUCGUGCAUUUAUUAGAUUAAACCAAUCGGUCCUUCGGGACCGCCAUUUGGUGAACUCUGAAUAACUUAGCUGAUCGCACAGUCUCGUACUGGCGACAAAUCUUUCAAGUGUCUGCCUUAUCAACUUUCGAUGGUAGUUUAUACGACUACCAUGGUUGUAACGGGUAACGGAGAAUAAGGGUUCGACUCCGGAGAGGGAGCCUGAGAAACGGCUACCACAUCCAAGGAAGGCAGCAGGCGCGCAAAUUACCCACUCGCAGAACGCGGAGGUAGUGACGAAAAAUAACGAGGUGGCUCUCUAUGAGGUCCAUCAUCGGAAUGGGUACAAUUUAAAUCCUUUAACGAGGAUCUAUUGGAGGGCAAGUCUGGUGCCAGCAGCCGCGGUAAUUCCAGCUCCAAUAGCGUAUACUAAAGUUGUUGCGGUUAAAAAGCUCGUAGUUGGAUCUGCGCUCGGUGAAAGCGGUCGCCCGAUGGGUUGUUACUGCUUCUCCCGGGCUAACCAUUCGGUUUUCCCUUGAUGCUCUUAACUGAGUGUCCUGGGUGACCGGAACGUUUACUUUGAAAAAAUUAGAGUGCUCAAAGCAGGCGAUUUGCCAGAAUAUUCGUGCAUGGAAUAAUAAAAGAGGUCCUUGUAGCCUUUUAUUGGUUAUCGCUACGAGGAAAUGAUCGAAGGGGACAGACGGGGGCAUUUGUAUUGCGACGUUAGAGGUGAAAUUCUUGGAUCGUCGCAAGACAAACUACUGCGAAAGCAUUUGCCAAGAAUG
This 922-nucleotide ribosomal RNA is filed under the name Trichodorus primitivus. Its description in RNAcentral is "SSU rRNA". It matches the Rfam family "Eukaryotic small subunit ribosomal RNA", at positions 39 to 966 of the family's 1831-position model. Lineage: Eukaryota; Metazoa; Nematoda; Enoplea; Triplonchida; Trichodoridae. The record is from RNAcentral.